UACGAAGGGGGCUAGCGUUGCUCGGAAUCACUGGGCGUAAAGGGUGCGUAGGCGGGUCUUUAAGUCAGGGGUGAAAUCCUGGAGCUCAACUCCAGAACUGCCUUUGAUACUGAAGAUCUUGAGUUCGGGAGAGGUGAGUGGAACUGCGAGUGUAGAGGUGAAAUUCGUAGAUAUUCGCAAGAACACCAGUGGCGAAGGCGGCUCACUGGCCCGAUACUGACGCUGAUGCACGAAAGCGUGGGGAGCGAUCCGG
Molecule: ribosomal RNA, 253 nt
Filed under: uncultured bacterium
Lineage: Bacteria
Description: partial 16S ribosomal RNA
Rfam family: Bacterial small subunit ribosomal RNA
Source: RNAcentral